CAUUGUUCAUUUAUCACACUCAACAUGAAUAUUUUUGUAUCUGAGACUUGGACUCAGGGGAGUUACAUCAUGCAAUCAUGGAGCCUUUCUUUGAAAAGAGCUUUUUACAUUAAAAAACAAACAAUAACAACAGCAGCAUUCUUCUAACAGAUCACAGCUGAAGCGAAGCAGUUGUAUUUCCAGGAUUAGAAACUGGUUAAUAGAAUUAGUGGAUGUCUGAGGCAUCAAGCUGUGUCUGAUAAUGAGAUGAGUUAUAAAUAGUGUCAUUAAUUCACAUGUCCUUCUAACACAUGCCACUCCAGUUAAUGUACAAAUCCCAAAUCCCUCAAUGCAAAAUACACUGACCUCCUCAUUAAAGUAUCUAAUGGCAUGAAGCCUGGUUUGCAUGUAUCCACUGUCUAGUGCUCUGGAUCAGGAAUAAUUACAGGGCAGCAUUUCUGUUCCUGAGCUAGGAGGCAGAAGUAUCUAUGUCACCAGAAAAUAAGACUUUCCUCAUGUCUCAUGCUGCCUUUUCUAAAUGUUGGGGUGUGUUAUGGGGCAGCACAUCCCACUGUGCCCUGCGAGGAGAGGCUGCCCUGGCGUCAGUGUUGGGGCGCUCCAGCAUCCUCUGAAACCUCUGUCUGUCUCACAGCAUCCUUUGACAUCUUGCUGUUGGGCCCCUAAAGGAUUUAAGUCUUCAGAGUGCACAUAUUCAGGCUUUAUUCUGAGCCUUUCAGGGAAGCAAAGAAGACACUGA
Molecule: long non-coding RNA, 736 nt
Filed under: Athene cunicularia (burrowing owl)
Lineage: Eukaryota; Metazoa; Chordata; Aves; Strigiformes; Strigidae
Description: lncRNA (ENSACUG00000007834.1)
Source: RNAcentral